AACAAGGCGUACCUGCGGACCUGCGGAAGGAUCAUUAAAAAGAGUGUGUACCCCUCUGUAAAAUGAGUGGGUUACCUCCCGUCCUUUGUUGACCUCUUAGGAGGUUAUUUUGAACUUUCUGCUUCGGUGGGGUUAAACCUACCGGAACACCCUCAAAUUCUUAUCAUUUAAAAAUUGUUCAGUCUGAUUUUUGUUAAUAAAAACAAAAAACUUUUAACAACGGAUCUCAGAUCGGAAGAG
Molecule: unclassified non-coding RNA, 240 nt
Filed under: soil metagenome
Description: partial contains 5.8S ribosomal RNA, internal transcribed spacer 2, and large subunit ribosomal RNA
Source: RNAcentral